This 160-nucleotide ribosomal RNA is filed under the name uncultured bacterium. Its description in RNAcentral is "partial 16S ribosomal RNA". It matches the Rfam family "Bacterial small subunit ribosomal RNA", at positions 7 to 161 of the family's 1533-position model. The record is from RNAcentral.
GAGAGUUUGAUCCUGGCUCAGGACGAACGCUGGCGGCGUGCCUAAUACAUGCAAGUUGAGCGCUGAAGUCUGGUACUUGUACUAGAUGGAUGAGCAGCGAACGGGUGAGUAACGCGUGGAUAACCUGCCUCUUAGCGGGGGAUAACUAGAGGAAACUUUA